This 453-nucleotide ribosomal RNA is filed under the name uncultured Phialocephala. Its description in RNAcentral is "eukaryotic LSU rRNA". It matches the Rfam family "Eukaryotic large subunit ribosomal RNA", at positions 178 to 643 of the family's 3401-position model. Lineage: Eukaryota; Fungi; Ascomycota; Leotiomycetes; Helotiales. The record is from RNAcentral.
GGUCUAAGUUCCUCGGAACAGGACGUCAUAGAGAGUGAGAAUGCCCGAUCUGAUCGGAGCCGUAGCCCGUGUAAAGCUCUUUCGACGAGUCGAGUUGUUUGGGAAUGCAGCUCAAAAUGGGUGGUAAAUNUCAUCUAAAGCUAAAUAUUGGCCAGAGACCGAUAGCGCACAAGUAGAGUGAUCGAAAGAUGAAAAGCACUUUGGAAAGAGAGUUAAACAGUACGUGAAAUUGUUGAAAGGGAAGCGCUUGCAACCAGACUUGCGCGCGGUCGAUCAUCCGAGGUUCUCCCCGGUGCACUCGAUCGUUCUCAGCCCAGCAUCAGGUUUCCGGGGUGGAAUAAAGGCGGUGGGAAUGUGGCUCCUCCGGAAUGUGUAUAGACCCACACGUGUCAAUUCCGCCUGCUGGGGACCGAGGUUCGCGCUUCGGCUAGGAUGCUGGCGUAAUGGUCGUAA